RNAcentral lists this ribosomal RNA (427 nucleotides) under uncultured bacterium. RNAcentral's name for it is "bacterial SSU rRNA". It matches the Rfam family "Bacterial small subunit ribosomal RNA", at positions 355 to 774 of the family's 1533-position model. The record is from RNAcentral.
UGGGGAAUUUUGGACAAUGGGCGCAAGCCUGAUCCAGCAAUGCCGCGUGCAGGAUGGAGGCCUUCGGGUUGUAAACUGCUUUUGUACGGAACGAAAAGGUUCUCUCUAAUUCAGGGGGCAUAUGACGGUACCGUAAGAAUAAGCACCGGCUAACUACGUGCCAGCAGCCGCGGUAAUACGUAGGGUGCGAGCGUUAAUCGGAAUUACUGGGCAUAAAGCGUGCGCAGGCGGUUUUGUAAGACAGAGGUGAAAUCCCCGGGCUCAACCUGGGAACCGCCUUUGUGACUGCAAGGCUGGAGUGCGGCAGAGGGGGAUGGAAUUCCGCGUGUAGCAGUGAAAUGCGUAGAUAUGCGGAGGAACACCGAUGGCGAAGGCAAUCCCCUGGGCCUGCACUGACGCUCAUGCACGAAAGCGUGGGGAGCAAACA